GCCUCCGUGGCGGAACCCGGCAUACGCGCAGCGCUUAGAACGCUGUCCCCGAAAGGGGUUAGAGGUUCAAAUCCUCUCGGAGGCACUA
Molecule: transfer RNA, 88 nt
Filed under: Candidatus Azambacteria bacterium RIFCSPHIGHO2_01_FULL_51_74
Lineage: Bacteria; Candidatus Azamiibacteriota
Also listed under: 2 other names
Description: tRNA-Leu
Rfam family: tRNA
About the family: Transfer RNA (tRNA) molecules are approximately 80 nucleotides in length.
Source: RNAcentral